CAGUAGCCACGGGAACACGGAGGGUGCAAGCGUUAAUCGGAAUUACUGGGCGUAAAGCGCACGCAGGCGGUCUGACAAGUCAGAUGUGAAAUCCCCGGGCUUAACCUGGGAACUGCAUUUGAAACUGUCAGGCUGGAGUCUUGUAGAGGGGGGUGGAAUUCCAGGUGUAGCGGUGAAAUGCGUAGAGAUCUGGAGGAAUACCGGUGGCGAAGGCGGCCCCCUGGACAAAGACUGACGCUCAGGUGCGAAAGCGUGGGGAGCAAACAGGAUUAGAUACCCCGGUAGUCCCUGUCUCUUAUAC
Molecule: ribosomal RNA, 301 nt
Filed under: uncultured bacterium
Lineage: Bacteria
Description: partial 16S ribosomal RNA
Rfam family: Bacterial small subunit ribosomal RNA
Source: RNAcentral